GCGCCCAUAGCUCAGCUGGAUAGAGUACCGCCCUCCGAAGGCGGUGGUCGUAGGUUCGAAUCCUACUGGGCGCGCCA
This 77-nucleotide transfer RNA is filed under the name Modicisalibacter muralis. RNAcentral describes it as "Halomonas muralis tRNA_Arg_CCG". It matches the Rfam family "tRNA". Rfam says of the family: Transfer RNA (tRNA) molecules are approximately 80 nucleotides in length. RNAcentral also lists the same sequence under 1 other name. The record is from RNAcentral. Lineage: Bacteria; Pseudomonadati; Pseudomonadota; Gammaproteobacteria; Oceanospirillales; Halomonadaceae.